AGAGUUUGAUCCUGGCUCAGGAUGAACGCUAGCUACAGGCUUAACACAUGCAAGUCGAGGGGAAACGACAUCGAAAGCUUGCUUUUGAUGGGCGUCGACCGGCGCACGGGUGAGUAACGCGUAUCCAACCUGCCCAUCACUUGGGGAUAACUUUGCGAAAGUAAGACUAAUACCCAAUGACGUCUCUAGAAGACAUCUGAAAGAGAUUAAAGAUUUAUCGGUGAUGGAUGGGGAUGCGUCUGAUUAGCUUGGUUGGCGGGGUAACGCCACCAAGGCGACGAUCAGUAGGGGUUCUGAGAGGAAGGUCCCCCANAUUGGAACUGAGACACGGUCCAAACUCCUACGGGAGGCA
Molecule: ribosomal RNA, 352 nt
Filed under: uncultured bacterium
Lineage: Bacteria
Description: bacterial SSU rRNA
Rfam family: Bacterial small subunit ribosomal RNA
Source: RNAcentral